GAGAGUUAAACAGUACGUGAAAUUGUUGAAAGGGAAACGAUUGAAGUCAGUCGUGCUGGCGCGAAAUCAACCCUCUCAUCGGGAGAUCACAUGUUGUGGCGAGCCUCAAAACCGCCACAGCGUGUGACCUCACGAUGAGGGGGAGCACUUUCGUGUCCGCUGGUUAACAUCAAUUUCGAACGUCAUAAAAAGGCUGGAGGGAUGUGGCUCCUUCGGGAGUGUUAUAACCUUUAGCGGAAUGUGGUGGUCGGGAUUGAGGAUUGCAACGGAUACCCUUCAGGGCUAUUCGUCUGAUCUCUGAUACGUUGCCCUGAUGUUGAAAGCUUGCUUAUGAUGUUAGGGUAUUACGGUCAAAAGGUUAGAACGAAUUACAUUCGUUAAGGAUGUUGACGUAAUGACUUUAAACGA
RNAcentral lists this ribosomal RNA (408 nucleotides) under uncultured Entrophospora. RNAcentral's name for it is "uncultured Claroideoglomus partial 28S ribosomal RNA". The record is from RNAcentral. Lineage: Eukaryota; Fungi; Glomeromycota; Glomeromycetes; Entrophosporales; Entrophosporaceae.